RNAcentral lists this long non-coding RNA (1049 nucleotides) under Bos mutus (wild yak). Its description in RNAcentral is "lncRNA (ENSBMUG00000004126.1)". The record is from RNAcentral. Lineage: Eukaryota; Metazoa; Chordata; Mammalia; Artiodactyla; Bovidae.
AUGAAGAUUUUUGGCGUCAGGAGUAAGAAAGUCGCCCUUAGGCUCCUCCAUCAACCCGGUGAGAGACAGCAGUCAUGGAAUCAACCUCCAGCCCGGGUACCGCAUCCGAGACAAAGACCUCAGAAAGAUCCACAAAGCUGCCAUCGUGGGCAACGUAGCCAAAGUGCAGCAUGUUCUGUUGUUUGGAAAAAAUGGCCUGAACGACAGGGACAAGACAAACAGGACUGCCCUCCACUUGGCCUGUGCCAAUGGCCAUUCAGCGGUGGUCACUCUGCUCCUGGAGAGAAAAUGCCUGCUUAACCUCUGUGACGAUGAAAACAGGACCGUGCUGAUGAAGGUAGAUGGGGCAGCGAACCGUGUCCACACGAGGUGGAUGUGAUCUAACUACUGAGACUCAAAGUGAAUUCAUCUCAUUUAGAUAUAGCAAACCGGUGAAGCCUGUGGCCUGUUUACUUUGAAUUCCUAGAAUUUACACUCUGUUUCUUGGCACAACACUGACAGGCCGUAGAAUGCCAAGAAGAGAAGUGUGCGACUCUUCUGCUGGAGCAUGGUGCCGACCCAAAUGUCAUGGACGUCUGUGGGAACACCGCUCUCCACUAUGCUGUCUUUUGCCAGAAUCUAUCACUCGCAGCAAAGCUGCUUUCCUGCGACGCCAAUAUAGAAGCCAGGAACAAGGUAUAUCUCAACUAUAUUUACAAAAUAUUUGUGAAGCAUUUUUUUAAACUAGAAGUGUUUUAAUUCUAACUAUGUAAACAGGUAAACUGAAGUGUCCAUCAAGCCCUGUUACCAUGGAAACAACUCCAAAACCAACGCAGGGGGUGGGGGAAAAUGUUGGAGCCUACAGAGAGGGCAAAGCUCUGUCUCCCAGCCAGCCGUCUACCCCAGAGGAAGAUUUCCCAUCAGGACGUGCCCGGGAGUGGGUGGUAGGCUCAGAGCCCACAAAUGAUGAAGGCCUGGGAGGAGUGAAGUGAUGUGAGGAGUGGCUGCUUCCAGGGGCUCAGGGAAUGGGUGCCCCUGGGCGUGGGUGGGAGGAGGAAGGAGACCCAGUG